Molecule: ribosomal RNA, 439 nt
Filed under: uncultured bacterium
Lineage: Bacteria
Description: partial 16S ribosomal RNA
Rfam family: Bacterial small subunit ribosomal RNA
Source: RNAcentral
CUACGGGAUGCACCAGUGGGGAAUUUUGCGCAAUGGGGGCAACCCUGACGCAGCAAUACCGCGUGAGUGAAGAAGGCCUUUGGGUCGUAAAGCUCUUUUCUAAGGGAAGAUAGUGACGGUACCUUAGGAAUAAGCACCGGCUAACUCCGUGCCAGCAGCCGCGGCAAUACGGAGGGUGCGAGCGUUGUUCGGAUUUACUGGGCGUAAAGGGCGCGUAGGCGGCUUAGCAAGUUAAGGGUGAAAUCCCGGGGCUCAACCCCGGAACUGCUCUUAAAACUGCUAAGCUAGAGAUGGUCAGAGGCGGGUGGAAUUCCAGGUGUAGAGGUGAAAUUCGUAGAUAUCUGGAGGAACACCGGUGGCGAAGGCGGCCCGCUGGGGCCAUUCUGACGCUGAUGCGCGAAAGCGUGGGGAGCGAACGGGAUUAGAUACCCGGGUAGUC